GUUCUGGCUCAUAUAGGAAGACCCGA
Molecule: ribosomal RNA, 26 nt
Filed under: Tritrichomonas sp. AUTf
Lineage: Eukaryota; Parabasalia; Tritrichomonadida; Tritrichomonadidae
Description: partial 28S ribosomal RNA
Source: RNAcentral